UACGGAGGGAGCUAGCGUUGUUCGGAAUUACUGGGCGUAAAGCGCGCGUAGGCGGUUUUUUAAGUCAGAGGUGAAAGCCCGGGGCUCAACCCCGGAAUAGCCUUUGAAACUGGAAAACUUGAAUCUUGGAGAGGUCAGUGGAAUUCCGAGUGUAGAGGUGAAAUUCGUAGAUAUUCGGAAGAACACCAGUGGCGAAGGCGACUGACUGGACAAGUAUUGACGCUGAGGUGCGAAAGCGUGGGGAGCAAACAGG
RNAcentral lists this ribosomal RNA (253 nucleotides) under uncultured bacterium. RNAcentral's name for it is "partial 16S ribosomal RNA". It matches the Rfam family "Bacterial small subunit ribosomal RNA", at positions 524 to 776 of the family's 1533-position model. The record is from RNAcentral. RNAcentral also lists the same sequence under 1 other name.